AGUGGUGGUUAGCCACUGUAACCCAAAACAGCAGGACGCACUUUUGAAGUAUUCCACACUUUUCAUUUAUUUAACUUCGUCCACGKAAAGCCAGAUCUCCAYGGUACUAAGCAUUAUAUUUCCAUACAUGAGAAAAGUAACGUUAGUUUACCCCUCUGCACCUCAUCAUCACCUAUGUUCUCUUCUACAACAAAAUGGAAGACUAGAUCUUCUYCUGUACAAUAGUGCAACAACAAAAGGAAYAGGCGCCCCCUUGUGGYGAUACCUACUCAUCUCUAGGAMCCAACAGCAUAAUGACUGUUACAAYCUGCUCUGAUCUUAUGACUGARGUUCGGUUAAUGUUGCUCAUUUUUAGGGAGCGGUACUUAAAUUCCUUYCUGUCUUGUUGGCCUCUUCACAGGCAGGUAUGGAGCUGCUAGUGAGAGUGGAUCCAAAUAAACCAUUUAUUGCAUCGUCUCUAUAGAACUUCAAGGAGAUCGGCUCAACUGUUCAGGUUGCUGUGUUGAGGGGCAAAAAAAAAUUCUGGUUGCUAUGAAUACGUAUGUGGAAGAUUCUACAGGUCAGGACAGGAUGACUGGGUCAGCCUCUGAUGUGGUAAUCACUGUCUGAGCUGGCACCGAUAACACACUCAGCUGGAGCACAAACAACCCCUGAACACACACACUCAGAUACACGGAGAGCAGAAUUCCUGCCUUUGAUGGUAGUGUGAUGUCACACAUUGUGACAUUACACUAUACUGCACUGCACWACUGUGAAACUGUGACGUCACGUCAUGGUUUCCUUAUAAUUCAAAUUCAAAAUUGGUCCAAAGGGAAAUUAAAUGUCAUUGUAACUCUUAAUUYAGGUUYUUCAAAGARUUAUUGUAGAUUGUGAUGAUUGUUGGUAGGAAAGAUCUCUUCUAGCAGUCUGUAUUACAGCAAAUCUGAAGAAGCCUCUGACUGAAGACAUUCUGUUUUCCCAAGACAGUCUCAUGAAAAGGAUGGUUUGGGUARUCCACAAUUUUCUUGGUUUUAUGAAGAAUCCUUCUUUGCAACAUCUUCUUCAGAGGUUCCAYAGUCGUCCUCAGAACAGAACCAGCCUUCUUUAUCAGGUUGUUGAGCUUUUUUAGGUCCCUGUUUCUGAUGCUGCUGCCCCAACAGAUGAUGGCUGAAGAGACAAUGAUCUCAACAAGACUUAUAAAAGAACUACAGCAGACGAAGAACACACAGGCCAUGGCCAGUUCCACCAGCAUCAGGAUGAACAGCAGUACAUAAAACUGAGACACAGAAAUGAUGAGCAUGCAGCGGUUCUCCUUCAUGCCUCCCAGCACUCCCAGGUAACAAACGCAGGUGACGAUGGUACCGAUCA
Poecilia reticulata (guppy) is the source of this 1347-nucleotide non-coding RNA. NCBI's taxonomy places the organism in Eukaryota, Metazoa, Chordata, Actinopteri, Cyprinodontiformes, Poeciliidae. The record is from RefSeq and is a predicted model, not a curated record.